Molecule: ribosomal RNA, 249 nt
Filed under: uncultured bacterium
Lineage: Bacteria
Description: partial 16S ribosomal RNA
Rfam family: Bacterial small subunit ribosomal RNA
Source: RNAcentral
UACAGAGGUCCCGAGCGUUGUUCGGAUUCACUGGGCGUAAAGGGUGCGUAGGUGGCGAUGAAAGUUCGAUGUGAAAUCUCCGGGCUUAACCCGGAAAGGCAUUGAAACUAUGUUGCUUGAGGUUUGGAGGGGACUGGAAUUCUUGGUGUAGCAGUGAAAUGCGUAGAUAUCAAGAGGAACACCAGUGGCGAAGGCGGGUCCCUGGACAACACCUGACGCUGAGACGCGAAAGCGUGGGUAGCAAACAGG